This 253-nucleotide ribosomal RNA is filed under the name uncultured bacterium. RNAcentral describes it as "partial 16S ribosomal RNA". It matches the Rfam family "Bacterial small subunit ribosomal RNA", at positions 524 to 776 of the family's 1533-position model. The record is from RNAcentral.
UACGGAGGGAGCUAGCGUUGUUCGGAAUUACUGGGCGUAAAGCGCACGUAGGCGGCUUUCUAAGUCAGGGGUGAAAGCCCGGGGCUCAACCCCGGAAUUGCCUUUAAGACUGCAUCGCUUGAAUCCAGGAGAGGUGAGUGGAAUUCCGAGUGUAGAGGUGAAAUUCGUAGAUAUUCGGAAGAACACCAGUGGCGAAGGCGGCUCACUGGACUGGUAUUGACGCUGAGGUGCGAAAGCGUGGGGAGCAAACAGG